GAUAAAGAACGCAGCAAAAUGCGAUAAGUAAUGUGAAUUGCAGAAUUCAGUGAAUCAUCGAAUCUUUGAACGCACAUUGCGCCCGCCAGUAUUCUGGCGGGCAUGCCUGUUCGAGCGUCAUUUCAACCCUCAAGCACAGCUUGGUGUUGGGACUCGCGUUAAUUCGCGUUCCCCAAAUUGAUUGGCGGUCACGUCGAGCUUCCAUAGCGUAGUAGUAAAACCCUCGUUACUGGUAAUCGUCGCGGCCACGCCGUUAAACCCCAACUUCUGAAUGUUGACCUCGGAUCAGGUAGGAAUACCCGCUGAACUUAAGCAUACAAUAAGCGGAGGA
RNAcentral lists this unclassified non-coding RNA (331 nucleotides) under soil metagenome. Its description in RNAcentral is "partial contains 5.8S ribosomal RNA, internal transcribed spacer 2, and large subunit ribosomal RNA". The stretch from base 1 to 120 matches the Rfam family "5.8S ribosomal RNA", at positions 35 to 154 of the family's 154-position model. The record is from RNAcentral.